GGCAACCUGACCCCUUAACAUCUAAAUUGAGAUAUUUCAGAUUUUGAGUGAUUAAGUGUCAGCCUAGAGCGGCGGACUUGGUGAGUAACGCGUGGGCGACUUACCCUGGGCCGAGGAUAGCCGGUAGAAAUAUCGGGUAAUACCGGAUACGACCGCACGGUCGAAGCCGUGCGAGGAAAGGGGCUUCGGCCCCGCCCCUGGAUGGGCCCGCGUCCCAUUAGCCUGUUGGUGGUGUAACGGACCACCAAAGCAGUGAUGGGUAGCCGGCCUGAGAGGGUGAACGGCCACAUUGGGACUGAGAUACGGCCCAAACUCCUACGGGAGGCAGCAGCUAAGAAUAUUCCGCAAUGGCCGGAAGGCUGACGGAGCGACGCCGCGUGGACGACGAAGGCCGGAAGGUUGUAAAGUCCUUUUGCCGCCGAAGAAUAAGCGCGGGAGGGAAUGCCCGCGCGAUGACGUUAGGCGGCGAAUAAGCCCCGGCUAAUUACUUGCCAGCAGCCGCGGUAACACGUAAGGGGCGAGCGUUGUUCGGAAUUAUUGGGCGUAAAGGGCGCGUAGGCGGCUGUGCAAGUCUGGUGUGAAAGGCGGGGGCUCAACCCCCGGACUGCGCCGGAAACUGCAUGGCUUGAGUUUCGGAGGGGGAGUCGGAAUUCCGGGUGUAGGGGUGAAAUCUGUAGAUAUCCGGAAGAACACCGGUGGCGAAGGCGGACUUCCAGCCGGAGACUGACGCUGAGGCGCGAAAGUGCGGGGAGCGAACAGGAUUAGAUACCCUGGUAGUCCGCACCAUAAACGAUGUGCACUAGGUGUCGGGGCGAGCGUCUCGGUGCCGGAGCGAACGCGAUAAGUGCACCGCCUGGGGAGUAUGCCCGCAAGGGUGAAACUCAAAGGAAUUGACGGGGGCCCGCACAAGCGGUGGAGCAUGUGGUCUAAUUCGAUGAUACGCGAGGAACCUUACCUGGGUUUGAAGUGCGGGGGAAUGGCGCGGAGAUGCGCCGGCCGGGCAACCGGCCCCCGCAUAGGUGCUGCAUGGCUGUCGUCAGCUCGUGCCGUGAGGUGUUGGGUUAAGUCCCGCAACGAGCGCAACCCCUACUGCCAGUUGCCAGCAUUUGGUUGGGGACUCUGGCGGAACUGCCGGCGACAAGCCGGAGGAAGGCGGGGAUGACGUCAAGUCAUCAUGGCCCUUAUGUCCAGGGCUACACACGUGCUACAAUGGGCGGUACAGAGGGAAGCGAGCCCGCGAGGGCGGAGCAAAUCCGCGAAAGCCGCCCGUAGUUCGGAUUGAAGUCUGAAACCCGACUUCAUGAAGCUGGAAUCGCUAGUAAUCGCGCAUCAGCAUGGCGCGGUGAAUACGUUCCCGGGCCUUGUACACACCGCCCGUCACACCAUCCGAGUUGGGAGUGCCCGAAGCCGGCAGCGUAACCGCGAGGAGCGCGCCGUCUAAGGCAAGCUUAGUGAGGAGGGUG
Molecule: ribosomal RNA, 1463 nt
Filed under: uncultured Spirochaetota bacterium
Lineage: Bacteria; Pseudomonadati; Spirochaetota
Description: bacterial SSU rRNA
Rfam family: Bacterial small subunit ribosomal RNA
Source: RNAcentral